GUCGGAGGGAGCAAGCGUUGUUCGGAAUCACUGGGCGUAAAGCGCGUGUAGGCGGUCCGAUAAGUCGAGUGUGAAAGCCCGAGGCUCAACCUCGGAAGUGCAUUCGAAACUGUCGGGCUUGAGUACGGGAGAGGGAAGUGGAAUUCCUGGUGUAGAGGUGAAAUUCGUAGAUAUCAGGAGGAACACCGGUGGCGAAGCCGGCUUCCUGGACCGAUACUGACGCUGAGACGCGAAAGCGUGGGGAGCAAACAGG
RNAcentral lists this ribosomal RNA (253 nucleotides) under uncultured bacterium. RNAcentral's name for it is "partial 16S ribosomal RNA". It matches the Rfam family "Bacterial small subunit ribosomal RNA", at positions 524 to 776 of the family's 1533-position model. The record is from RNAcentral.